CGCGGCCUAUCAGCUUGUUGGUGAGGUUGUGGCUCACCAAGGCGUCGACGGGUAGCCGGCCUGAGAGGGUGACCGGCCGCAUUGGGACUGAGAUACGGCCCAGACUCCUACGGGAGGCAGCAGUGGGGAAUAUUGCACAAUGGGCGAAAGCCUGAUGCAGCAACGCCGUGUGCGGGAUGACGGCCUUCGGGUUAUAAACCGCUUUCACCAGGGACGAAGGGCCUUUCGGGGUUUGACGGUACCUGGAGAAGAAGCACCGGCUAACUGCGUGCCAGCAGCCGCGGUGAUACGUAGGGUGCGAGCGUUGUCCGGAUUCAUUGGGCGUAAAGAGCUCGUAGGUGGUUGAUCGCGUCGGAAGUGAAAACUUGGGGCUUAACCCUGGGCGUGCUUUCGAUACGGGUUGACUUGAGGAAGGUAGGGGAGAAUGGAACUCCUGGUGGAGCGGUGGAAUGCGCAGAUAUCAGGAGGAACACCAGUGGCGAAGGCGGUUCUCUGGACCUUUCCUGACGCUGAGGAGCGAAAGCGUGGGGAGCAAACAGGCUUAGAUACCCUGGUAGUCCACGCUGUAAACGGUGGGUACUAGGUGUGGGGUCCAUUCCACGGAUUCCGUGCCGUAGCUAACGCAUUAAGUACCCCGCCUGGGGAGUACGG
RNAcentral lists this ribosomal RNA (651 nucleotides) under uncultured Actinomycetes bacterium. Its description in RNAcentral is "bacterial SSU rRNA". It matches the Rfam family "Bacterial small subunit ribosomal RNA", at positions 232 to 885 of the family's 1533-position model. The record is from RNAcentral. Lineage: Bacteria; Bacillati; Actinomycetota; Actinomycetes.